CCAGAAUCCUCUUUGAUUCCUAGUCCUGUCUGUUUCAUUGGCCAAACAGAACUUUAUUAAACAAUCAAUAAGAUAAACAUACAGAGAAAUACUUCCCCCCAUCACAACUUGACUCUGGUGAAAACUGCACAGAGGAAUCUUUUAAAGGAGCAUUGAGGGCUGCUGUAGAAUCCAAAUCUUAGCUGGAAGACUGAGAGCCUCUAUGCAAACAUGGCUUUGUGCAUCUUUCCCCAAAGGAAUUCCAUUAGUGUGACCUGAACUCAAACUCUCUGUGCCUAGUUUCCUUAUCUAUUGUUUAGGGGUAAUAGCUAUAAUGGCACACAGCACAUGGCUUGGUUGUGAAGAUGUGUACAAGUUGAUGUUUAUACUUGCUUACAAUAGUCUCUGGCACACAGUAUGCUCUGUAGUUACUGCAUCAUCAUCAUCACCAGGGCCAAUGUUAAGGAGGUUUCCUCAAAGGGCUGAAUCUGGAUUUUCAACACAGAGCCCGAGACUUGACUGAAGAUGGAGUGGACCACUUGGAGCUUCGAGUUUGAUGUUAGAACUUCAAUGGGUGCUUCCCAUUCAUGUGUGGCAAGCUCCUCAUCACUCACGUCUCAGCUCAAAUCAGAAAGCUGUUCCUUGAUUUUCUUAAGAGAGCACCCUUAGCCCCUGUAGUCAUCCACUUCAGUAAGUAUGCAUACUGUCAUUGGAUUAAAAGAUUUUGCCACAUUGAACCCUCAGCCCGAGGAAAG
RNAcentral lists this long non-coding RNA (734 nucleotides) under Cricetulus griseus (Chinese hamster). RNAcentral's name for it is "lncRNA (ENSCGRG00000026345.1)". The record is from RNAcentral. Lineage: Eukaryota; Metazoa; Chordata; Mammalia; Rodentia; Cricetidae.